This 352-nucleotide long non-coding RNA is filed under the name Mytilus galloprovincialis (Mediterranean mussel). The record is from RNAcentral. Lineage: Eukaryota; Metazoa; Mollusca; Bivalvia; Mytilida; Mytilidae.
UCUCCAAACUGCCUGUAUUUAGAAUUCAUUUUAACUGAGGUAAAAGCUCUCUCCGAUGGUAAACAUCAACUUUAAUGAUCACGAUGAUGAAAAAGAAGCUAAACUGUUCACUUAAAUAUUCCUCUGUCUCAAUGCAUCAAAAUACUAAACUUCAAUUCAAUUGGGUCUUGAAACAGCAAAUGCUUCUGCUUAGUAAAUGAUAUAGAAUUGCUGUCUUUUUUCUUCUUUUCAUUGAAAUAUUUGGUGGCUUUCCAAACAAAUUUUAAUCAGAUUUUCAGUAUUAAAUGGUCAUGAUGAGUUAUAAAUAAGUAACUUUCUUCUGCUGUCUCGGUGCAGGUGAUCAUCAUUGCUG